Long non-coding RNA from Pipistrellus kuhlii (Kuhl's pipistrelle), 175 nucleotides. RefSeq lists it as uncharacterized. The transcript is spliced from 3 exons. The record is from RefSeq and is a predicted model, not a curated record. NCBI's taxonomy places the organism in Eukaryota, Metazoa, Chordata, Mammalia, Chiroptera, Vespertilionidae.
UAAGCAAAAAUAUAACAAAAUGAUAUUCUUGGCCUUGACCGGUUUGGAUCACUGGACAGAGCAUCGGCCUGCGGACUGAAGGGUCCCAGGUUUGAUUCCGAUCAAGGGCAUGUGCCUCGGUUGCGGACACAUCCCCAGUGGAGGGUGUGCAAGAGGCAGCUGAUCAAUGUUUCUC